This 332-nucleotide unclassified non-coding RNA is filed under the name soil metagenome. RNAcentral's name for it is "partial contains 5.8S ribosomal RNA, internal transcribed spacer 2, and large subunit ribosomal RNA". The stretch from base 1 to 120 matches the Rfam family "5.8S ribosomal RNA", at positions 35 to 154 of the family's 154-position model. The record is from RNAcentral.
GAUGAAGAACGCAGCAAAAUGCGAUAAGUAAUGUGAAUUGCAGAAUUCAGUGAAUCAUCGAAUCUUUGAACGCACAUUGCGCCCGCCAGUAUUCUGGCGGGCAUGCCUGUUCGAGCGUCAUUUCAACCCUCAAGCACAGCUUGGUGUUGGGACUCGCGUUAAUUCGCGUUCCCCAAAUUGAUUGGCGGUCACGUCGAGCCUCCAUAGCGUAGUAGUAAAACCCUCGUUACUGGUAAUCGUCGCGGCCACGCCGUUAAACCCCAACUUCUGAAUGUUGACCUCGGAUCAGGUAGGAAUACCCGCUGAACUUAAGCAUAUCAAUAAGCGGAGGA